AUUGAACGCUGGCGGCAGGCCUAACACAUGCAAGUCGAACGGUAACAGGAAGCAGCUUGCUGCUUUGCUGACGAGUGGCGGACGGGUGAGUAAUGUCUGGGAAACUUCCCGAUGGAGGGGGAUAACUACUGGAAACGGUAGCUAAUACCGCAUAACGUCGCAAGACCGAAGAGGGGGACCUUAGGGCCUCUUGCCAUCGGAUGUGCCCAGAUGGGAUUAGCUAGUAGGUGGGGUAACGGCUCACCUAGGCGACGAUCCCUAGCUGGUCUGAGAGGAUGACCAGCCACACUGGAACUGAGACACGGUCCAGACUCCUACGGGAGGCAGCAGUGGGGAAUAUUGCACAAUGGGCGCAAGCCUGAUGCAGCCAUGCCGCGUGUAUGAAGAAGGCCUUCGGGUUGUAAAGUACUUUCAGCGGGGAGGAAGGGAGUAAAGUUAAUACCUUUGCUCAUUGACGUUACCCGCAGAAGAAGCACCGGCUAACUCCGUG
This 490-nucleotide ribosomal RNA is filed under the name uncultured bacterium. RNAcentral's name for it is "partial 16S ribosomal RNA". It matches the Rfam family "Bacterial small subunit ribosomal RNA", at positions 30 to 507 of the family's 1533-position model. The record is from RNAcentral.